AUGGUUCGCUCUCUUCCGUUCUGAAAAUUUCGAUGUGAAAGAUGCACCUCGCUCUGGUCGACUCAUCGUUGAAAAAGUCGAUGAUAUUAUGGAAAAGAUUGACCAGUCACAUAAGCAACCAUGACAUCGCUAAGGAACUUAACAUUCAUCAUCAAACGCUUUUGAACUAUUUAAAAAAGGCUGACUUCAAAAAAAAGCUCGGUGUUUGGGUACCACAUGAAUCGUCUGUGAACAAUUUAAUGAACCAAAUCAAUCUGCAAUUCUUUGCUAAAAGGAAAUUAAAUCGAAAAAUUUGUGAAUUGAGUAGUAACAGGAAACGAAAAGUGGAUCAAAUACGACAAUAAUGUGCGAAAAAGAUCAUGGUUCAAGCGUGGUGAAGCUCAACAAAUGGUCGCAAAGCCAGGAUUGGCCGUUCGAAAGGACAUGCUGAGUGUUUGGUGAGAUUGGAAAGCAAUAAUUUACUAUGAUCUGCUCCACCCUGGUCGAAGGAUUGAUUCCACAUUUUAUUGUCAACAACUGAUGAGAUUGAAGCAAGCAAUAAAAAAACGACCAGAACUAAUCAAGAGGAAGCUUCGUCUUCCACAAGGACAACGCUAGACCACACACAUUCUUGAUGACUCGGCAGAAACUAGUAGAGCUUCGCUGGACAUGUACCCUUGACCUUGCACCAUUUGUUCUGGUCAAUGCAGAACUUUUUUAAUGGAGUGAAGUUGGCUUCAAGAGUAGCCUAUGAAAAUUACUUGCCGCAGUUUUUCGCCGAGACUUUUUCGACUACCAUAUAUAUUACCAACAUCACCACGAAGCUGAUCAUAGCGGUAUAAUUUAUAUAUAUUCACAUACAUAUUUAUUAUGUAUUUAGUUAUUCGUUUGUGUCAAUAAAUGAAAAGUUAAUAUAAAAUAUACAUAUGUACAUAUGUACAUAUAUAAAGGCAA
Long non-coding RNA from Bactrocera dorsalis (oriental fruit fly), 933 nucleotides. RefSeq lists it as uncharacterized. The transcript is spliced from 2 exons. Lineage: Eukaryota; Metazoa; Arthropoda; Insecta; Diptera; Tephritidae. The record is from RefSeq and is a predicted model, not a curated record.